This is a non-coding RNA of Solanum lycopersicum (tomato), 1185 nucleotides long. The record is from RefSeq and is a predicted model, not a curated record. Lineage: Eukaryota; Viridiplantae; Streptophyta; Magnoliopsida; Solanales; Solanaceae.
CACACUUUUUCCAUUCCAACAAAUCAAAAAAACAUUUCUUCUCUUUCAAAAGAUCUAAUCACAAAUUCCAUCUUUCUCAUUUAGAAACCAAAUCAAACAAUUCUCGAAUAAAUAAGAAUUUAGUUGAGAAGAAAAAAAAAAUGGAGCAAAAUUUGCCAGUAAUAGCAAAGAAAUUCUGGAACAUAGUGCGAAUAGCUUUCUUCAUGUUGAGAAAAGGAUCUCAAAGAGAAAAUUCAUGCUCGAUUUCAACUUACUCAUGAAGCGUGGAAAAAUCGCUAGUAAAGCCGCAUUUCACAAUCUCAUGUUUCACCACGCGCACCAAUUCUCUUCAUCGUCUUCCUCAUCAGCUUCUUCUUCAACUCCUGAGUCCGUGUGUGCACGCGCUCCAUCCAGCGAGUACGAAUUCAGUUGCAGUAACAGCCCAGCGUACCCAGCUUUUCACCUUCCGUUCCACUUCAACAAGCGCGGCAAGCACCACGCUCAUCUCUUUCCGUGUGCACACGCUCCGGCCACCGCGGACGACGACGUUGUUGUGAUGAAUGCUGCUAUGAUGAAGGCUUUGGAAAUGAUUCAGAGUACUAAUGCGUCGCCGGCGAAUAAUCUGCCUGGAUUCGGAAGGACUCCGACGGUGAGGCAGUUGAGGAUUACCGACUCGCCGUUUCCGCUGAAAGAUGUUGAAGAAGAUAGUCAAGUUGAUGAGGCUGCUGAGAAAUUUAUUUCGAAAUUCUAUAGGGAUUUGAUGAGGCAAUCUUCACCUGGUGGUGCUUAAGCGCGAGCUCUCUCUGAUCUCUGGUUGCUAGUAUAUAAAUAUAUAUAUAUAUAUAUAUAUAUUUCUAUUGGGAAUUUUAUGCAUAUGGCGGAGAUCGUGGCCGAUGCAAUAACAACAAUGACGCAGGAACUAUCAGCUGAAAGUUUCAGUGUUGUAAAUUGGAUGAAGAAGAUUGGGAGCUAUGAAGAAUGUAUAUGCUUUUAUUGCAUGUAUAAAUUUCUGCUUUCAUGGGAGUUUUUGGUUUUGUUUUUUUUUUCCUUUGGGAUAAUUAUUCAAACAAAAAAAAAUGUAGUCCAAGUAUAGUAUAUAGUUGUGAUGAAAUUUUGCCAUUAUUUUUUUAAAAAAAUUGUAACGCAAUGAAAUGGAAUGUUCACAUGUUUUAAAUUACUCAGUUUGAAAUUCAAUAAUUUCCUGUA